RNAcentral lists this small RNA (27 nucleotides) under Bombyx mori (domestic silkworm). RNAcentral describes it as "ovarian small RNA-34339". The record is from RNAcentral. Lineage: Eukaryota; Metazoa; Arthropoda; Insecta; Lepidoptera; Bombycidae.
UGCUUUCAGAGAUGCUAGAAGAGUCUC